This 505-nucleotide ribosomal RNA is filed under the name uncultured bacterium. Its description in RNAcentral is "bacterial SSU rRNA". It matches the Rfam family "Bacterial small subunit ribosomal RNA", at positions 9 to 511 of the family's 1533-position model. The record is from RNAcentral.
GAGUUUGAUCAUGGCUCAGAUUGAACGCUGGCGGCAGGCCUAACACAUGCAAGUCGAGCGGUAGAGAGAAGCUUGCUUCUCUUGAGAGCGGCGGACGGGUGAGUAAUGCCUAGGAAUCUGCCUGGUAGUGGGGGAUAACGCUCGGAAACGGACGCUAAUACCGCAUACGUCCUACGGGAGAAAGCAGGGGACCUUCGGGCCUUGCGCUAUCAGAUGAGCCUAGGUCGGAUUAGCUAGUUGGUGAGGUAAUGGCUCACCAAGGCGACGAUCCGUAACUGGUCUGAGAGGAUGAUCAGUCACACUGGAACUGAGACACGGUCCAGACUCCUACGGGAGGCAGCAGUGGGGAAUAUUGGACAAUGGGCGAAAGCCUGAUCCAGCCAUGCCGCGUGUGUGAAGAAGGUCUUCGGAUUGUAAAGCACUUUAAGUUGGAGGAAGGGCAGUAAUUAAUACUUUAGCUGUUUGACGUUACCGACAGAAUAAGCACCGGCUAACUCUGUGCCAG